Long non-coding RNA from Anarrhichthys ocellatus (wolf-eel), 5796 nucleotides. RefSeq lists it as uncharacterized. The transcript has 3 exons. The record is from RefSeq and is a predicted model, not a curated record. NCBI's taxonomy places the organism in Eukaryota, Metazoa, Chordata, Actinopteri, Perciformes, Anarhichadidae.
UACACUUGUACACACAUAUUAAACGUGUACAUACACAUACACAGCACAUACUGAACUACCUUCGUCAUUGUCUUACAGGGGUCUUCUGUGGGGGGGUCCUUCCUGGCCCCAUGCUGCUGAAGAAUUCACAGAGUGCAACACUUCAUUUCUCCUCUGACGUUAGCCGAGGCGGGAGUGGCUUUGUCAUCAGGCAUCGUGCCGACCAGGGACGCUCUAGUCCUGGUGGGAAACACACUAUACAAAACACACAGACACAGACACACACAUCUCUGCAGGUAAUACUAAGGUGUACAGGACAGCAUGGCCACUUGUACUGAGUGCACACACUGUCCAUACAGGUCACACAGUGUUCCCCUCUGCCAUUGGCUCUCAGAGUAACCAGAUAGUGUGUAGGCACAUGUCCCAUGACACAAUGAUGAGCUGCACAAGACACUCACAGACACACUGUGUAGAGCUGCUGCUAAUGUGUCUUUUGUUUGUGUGUAUGUGUGAGUUUGUGUCCUGAACUGCUCCUGCAUGUGUAAUAAUGCUCGAUGUGCGUGUGUGGGUGUGUGUGUGUGUGUGUGUGUUUGUGUUCAUCAGGAUGCGGAAUAGUUGUGCUAGUUGAUGAUCUGACUUGUCCACAGUCCAAAUCACCCACAGUGCUACAGUAAUGACUGUGUCCUCCGCUGGUUGUCUAUGCUCCACAGGGACACGUUGUUAAGCUGGACUUUGCUGAUUUCGACCUGGAGGAGUCCGAUGGAUGCCUGUAUGACUCCCUCACUGUCCUGGGAGAUGUGGAGGGAACAGAGGAGAUUGGUAGGAUGAUGAAUCUCUGGGUGUCGGUUGAACACUCACUGCUUUGAUUAUGUCUUCUCUCUCUGUCCUCAUCGCAUUCUUUUCAGAUUCAAACACAUUGUAAUAUUAGCAGCAAUGAGAGGUUUAUGUUCUCCAUGUUUUGUAGUGGUGCUGUGUGGUGGCAGCGUUCCUCCUCCUGUCCUGUCCUACCACAGCGUCAUGGUGCUUCACUUCACCUCAGACGGCAGCAUCACACAUAGGGGCUUCAGUGCGACGCUGACAUUCAUCAGCCAUGCAGACCUUCAGAACCAGGACACAGGUGUGGAGAGUGGACCAGAGGGUCGGACAGAUCACACAGCCCAGCGGCACAUAACAACACAUGGUUGGUGGUCUGUUCAGUCUUUGAAUCCUCUUGGGACUCUUUUGCAUUUAGUGUGUUGACUUCAGGUUUGUGGAUUUAGAGAGAGGGCAGUGAAGAGAAUCCUGUGUCCCAGCGAAAUGUAAUGUAGUGAAGAAAGAGAACGAGUACCUCUCCUCACCUUGGGCAAGGCACCGACCACUCAGCUGCUGCAGUGGUGCCGUAGUGGUGAACAGCUCCCAAUGGCAAGCAUGGGGUUCAUCCAACUCUGAGUAAAUGAAGGACAUGUUCCUGCUUGUCUCCGGCUCCCUACAUGCACGUAACAGCACAACAAUGAUGAGGUGAAAUGUGGAGCAAGAAAUGAUUGUAUGGGCUACCUUGUAGUCUUCUGGUCUCUGUGUCGCUGUGUCAUGGGCUCAUCAAAGCAGCAAGAGUCUCUGGCAUGUAGAAUGGCAAUGAGACAUGUAACGCCAGAGUUACAGCUGAGGAAGUAGAAGAAUGACUCUCAGUUUAACCAGCAGUGUGAAGGUGAGAUGAGUCAAUGCUUUUGUUUUAAUCUUAUUGUUGUUCUUUUCUCUCCUCUAUCUUUAUCUCGCAAUUUUCUGAGAAAUAUGUCCUACGAACUAAAUACUGAGGUGCAAGCUGUUCACAAAAUGCUAGAGAAGUAUACAAGAAUCUCACAUUGUCACUGACUAACACAUUGUAGAUUUGACAGCUCACUUUUCUUUCCAACUACUUUAAAAGAGAAUUAAAGCACCAGCAGUAGAAUGACCGACAGUAUGCCACUGUUGUUUAGGCGUAUAUCAAUGCCUGGAGUGCUACGUCACUAUGAAAUCACUUGUCAUUUCAAAAGUAUUGUAUCCCAACAGGAAACUGGAGGAGAGAAAAUAGAUACCUUGCUUUAUUUAGGACGCUGUGUUGCGCUACUUGGAAAAAAAUACAUUUACAGCAUCACUAGUUGUGAAAAAAAACAAUUUGCAUAUACUGGUGUGUCUGUCUUCCACUUUGAAAAGGCCUUAGUAGUGGCGUACGCCUCCAGGCAUCGGUAUGUACUGCUGAACACAGUGACAUACCGUCUGCAACUUUUCAAUCUCGGUGCUGCUGCAGCAUUAAGUCGAGACGUGUGGUUCAGUGUUUAAAGGAACAGUUGAGCGGUGUGGGCGAUACAGAGAGAAGAUUGAUUCCUCUCAUCACUAAACUCUCAGCAAGAAAGUGUGAAAACUAUUUCCUUAAGAUCCACUGAUGAAACGGAACUUUUUAUGUUUAGUUGAUAUUAUAACAUUAGUACAAGUAAGUGUAACAAAUGUACUUAUUGGUAGUUUUGACAAUAGAAGUGCUAAGUGUGGGUUUAAUGUUCCACAAAUACUAAUUCAUUUCCAGCAAUAGAACCUCUGAAUAUUCCUUCAUCUCCAGAAAUGUAAAAUGUUCACAUUUAAAGGUAGUGGCACUAAACUCACUGUGCACAUACGCAGAACACAUAAGCUAAUGGUCAGCACAGAGUUUUCCCGGUUCACUUCCUGUACUGUGAGUUCUGUGUGUGUGUGUGUGUGUGUGUGUGUGUGUGUAUUUCCCCUCUUAACUGGUCCUGUUUGAAGAUUAUCAUGUAAACGACGAAGAGGAAGAGUUUGACCCGGGAUGUUUUUUGCAGUUUUAUUUUUGUAUGAUUUUUGUUUGAGUCCCUCUUUGAAUUAGGACUCAAAGUGGUUUAUAUACCACGUAACCUGCUACUGUUACCCGAUAACUCUUCCUGAUACUUUCUUCUUCAUCAGCCUCCUUCGUGAUACUUGCUCUUUUCUGCUGUCUGUUGUCGUGCUGCUUUGUGUGUCUCUGGUGUCUUGUCUCUUGGGGUCACCGUCUCCGUACCUGCCUCCUUUGGGACUGGGAUGCUGCUUUGCUGCAGUGUUUUUCAUCAUGUAUUUCUUCUUCCUAAACUGUGUAACCCAUCACAGGUUAGGUUGAAUAAACGCUGAGUCAUAUUCUGCCAGUAUACUAUCAAUGACAUUUAAAUUUAGAAACACCCGACCAAAAACACACGCCAUGCUAGAUGAAUGUAAACAUGAUGACGCACACAUUUUGUUCUACUACAGCAUUUGAUACAUGGAUUGUGAGGAAGGGUCUUUUAAAAGACUUAUGCAGAACUGCUUUGUGCAACUUUGAUCUGCCAGUGAAGCGGCUGCUAUUGGGAUGUUCAGUUACUUGAAACGUGCAUACAAAUAAUAAUCCAUGUGUGAGCCAAUGAGUUUUCCACCAGUAUUUAAAAUUCAAGCAACUUGCUAAAAAAGCAGUGAGAUUACUAUUUAGAGGUAGAUAUGGAUGUUACGCUCAUGCUUUCAUUUACAAAACCCUUUUUUCCUUUAGCCAACAUUCACAUGUUCCAUUCAAAGCAGCAAGAAGGAGUUAAAUGCUAACAGUAAGUUAACUCUUGAAGGUAGGGAGAUAUGACCAAUGUCUGACUAUCAACAGACAGCACAGCUGUAAUGAGCAUAAGCAAUGCUUAUGUUUGGGUUCGUCCAAAUUCAUUUAGUAAUCUACGAAAAACAAGAGCGAGGGUUAUAAUACAAACAGGCCACAAACCAUAGAAACAUAAUGGUUGUGUGUUGUACCAGCCUGUCAGAGUGCCAGUGAACGUAACACACACUGGACAUCCACCAGUAGAGAUCAGUGUCACAAGACACAGCAGCACGGCCAGUGUUAUGGCCACAAAGCCUUCCUGUUUGUUUCACUCUCAUUCCUCUUUAUCAAGAUCUUCAGCUCUGGAGAACUGUUGUGGUUUCACUGCCCAGUGGUUCAUUCCUGUUACUGUGGUUCCCAAACUUUAAAAAGACUUCUUGUCUCCUUGUGAUCUAUAUUCUCACGAGUGUUUUACUCAAAUACCUUUUAGACAUAUGAAGGAUGAAAAUGAUCGAAUAAUUAACAAAUGUGUUUUUUUUCUGCUUUCCUUAUUAAUCAUCUAACAGAUUUGUAAUGUUGCCUUAAACACCUUAAACAGGUUGGGAACCACUGCCCUCCAACACGUAUGCACUAACGUAAUGAUGACACAAGGGGUCAUCCAUGACAUGCUUGUGGUCUCUCAUGUUGUAUUGCACGUGAUUGUGCUAUUGCAAAAUGGGACUACAAUCUGAAUCCCUGUUGUACACCGACAAAUAAAACACCCUGUACCUUGUAUUACUCCUGCUAACAUCCACAACAUCAACCCUAUUAUGAUAGAAACAUGAGUUCCACUUGUUACAGGAGGUGACCUUCCAUCUUUCAGCAGAAAACUACAGAAAAGGGGAACUGUGCUGUACAGUAGACGGCCAUGCAUGUCUGUAGGUACGGGGCACCCUCUAGUGGCACUUUGUAGGAAUUGAAGGGAAAUCGGUGUUGAGUAACGUUACAUGAAUACACAUUAAAAACACAAAAGCUCUUUUAUGUGAGAAAUGUAGUAAAUAUAGCAGAAGUAUUGUAGAUUAUGGUGUGUCAUCCGUGUACUGUAGUGUUGAUGGAAUGACAUCAGAACUAUUCAUUCGACUUUCACUAAUGUGUGUGUUUAUUACGACUGGUCCUUUAGUCUUUGGUGCUCAUCUCUGCAGCAGCUCUCAGGAUCCGGACUCCAACACACCUUAUGGACCCUUUUCACCGCAGACAGCUGGAAAGCGGGUGUUAACACCAGUACAAUGUUGACUCAACAGAAUGGAGCCCUAGUUAAUGUCAUCUUUUACUUUUGGGCUUUUCCUGCUUUGAACAGGCUGCUCUGUGACAAGGACCUGAAACCUGCUCACCUAAUGGGAUGAUGUCAUUAAUCCCACUUCCUAUAUCUACAUGGAGUUCUGCAGGCAUCGGAGUAGUGUUCCUGCUGGGUGCUGAGCUGCAGUGGGUCUACUCCGUGGCAGCAGAUCAGUGCCUUGCUCAGGGGCACGUUGACAGGAGAUGUGAGAGAGAGUGCUACUGAUGAACUUGUGGCUGUUCUCUUGACAAACGUACAGAAAUAAGUUACAGUGAGCCAGUUCAUCAUUGCUGUCUCUCAGGGGAGUAUGUCCACCACUUUGGUCCAGACUGAAACAUUUUUGACAACUUUUGGAUGAUUGCAAUAAAAUGUUUAUUCACCCAUUCAUUGAAGUGUUUUGGUCAUAAAUUCAGUUUAAUAAAAGAAAUUCAAUAAAACAAGAAAGAAUCUCCAAGUAGGGUGAAAAGAAUCUUGACACCAAACUGGGUAAAGCUGCACUCGUAUGAAGAAUAGAGCAUGAGGUUGACGUGUAACUGAGUGAAAUGUCUACGCAGCUAUUGGAUGGAAAUGUAGUAAAAUGUUCAUUUAGCACCCUCAUCAGGUCAACUGUUAAUUAGUUUGAUACUCUAUGAUGAAACACCCUCAGAACUAAUGACGUCCCCAUAAUUAGCACAUGUUAGCAUGCCAAGAUGACAUCGUCAUUGCAGGCAUGUUAGCAAGCAGCAUGCCUGAGUCGCCUCACAGAGCCACUACUGAGACUCUUAGUUUUGCUUAUUUUCCUCUGAAACACCAAUAUACACGUGGCUCUAUUUUCUGUUGACCUGAUGAGCUCACUAUCACACAAUCCUUCCAUGUAUUUCUGCACUUGGAGCAUCAAAUGUAAACGUACCCCUGGUUGUGAAUCAGCCCAAAGCUGUGUGUGUGUGUGUGUGUGUGUGUGUGUGUGUGUGUGUGU